RNAcentral lists this ribosomal RNA (508 nucleotides) under uncultured bacterium. Its description in RNAcentral is "partial 16S ribosomal RNA". It matches the Rfam family "Bacterial small subunit ribosomal RNA", at positions 28 to 507 of the family's 1533-position model. The record is from RNAcentral.
GACGAACGCUGGCGGCGUGCCUAAUACAUGCAAGUCGAACGCUUCUUUCCUCCCGAGUGCUUGCACUCAAUUGGAAAGAGGAGUGGCGGACGGGUGAGUAACACGUGGGUAACCUACCCAUCAGAGGGGGAUGACACUUGGAAACAGGUGCUAAUACCGCAUAGCAGUUUAUGCCGCAUGGCAUAAGAGUGAAAGGCGCUUUCGGGUGUCGCUGAUGGAUGGACCCGCGGUGCAUUAGCUAGUUGGUGAGGUAACGGCUCACCAAGGCCACGAUGCAUAGCCGACCUGAGAGGGUGAUCGGCCACACUGGGACUGAGACACGGCCCAGACUCCUACGGGAGGCAGCAGUAGGGAAUCUUCGGCAAUGGACGAAAGUCUGACCGAGCAACGCCGCGUGAGUGAAGAAGGUUUUCGGAUCGUAAAACUCUGUUGUUAGAGAAGAACAAGGACGUUAGUAACUGAACGUCCCCUGACGGUAUCUAACCAGAAAGCCACGGCUAACUACGUG